Molecule: ribosomal RNA, 422 nt
Filed under: uncultured prokaryote
Also listed under: 1 other name
Description: bacterial SSU rRNA
Rfam family: Bacterial small subunit ribosomal RNA
Source: RNAcentral
UGAGGAAUAUUGGUCAAUGGGCGAGAGCCUGAACCAGCCAAGUCGCGUGAGGGAUGACGGUCCUAUGGAUUGUAAACCUCUUUUGUCGGGGAGCAAGAACUCUACGUGUAGAGAAGUGAGAGUACCCGAAGAAAAAGCAUCGGCUAACUCCGUGCCAGCAGCCGCGGUAAUACGGAGGAUGCGAGCGUUAUCCGGAUUUAUUGGGUUUAAAGGGUGCGUAGGCGGAAAGUUAAGUCAGUGGUCAAAUCGUGAGGCUCAACCUCAUCCAGCCAUUGAAACUGGUUUUCUUGAGUGGAAUGGACGUAUGCGGAAUGCGUGGUGUAGCGGUGAAAUGCAUAGAUAUCACGCAGAACUCCGAUUGCGAAGGCAGCAUACGAUUUUCCAACUGACGCUGAAGCACGAAAGCGUGGGUAUCGAACAGG